UGCGUAGGGGGCAAGCGUUAUCCGGAUUUACUGGGUGUAAAGGGAGCGUAGACGGCCAGACAAGUCAGAAGUGAAAGCCCAGGGCUCAACCCUGGGACUGCUUUUGAAACUGCCGGGCUGGAGUGCAGGAGAGGUAAGCGGAAUUCCUAGUGUAGCGGUGAAAUGCGUAGAUAUUAGGAGGAACACCAGUGGCGAAGGCGGCUUACUGGACUGUAACUGACGUUGAGGCUCGAAAGCGUGGGGAGCAAACAGG
RNAcentral lists this ribosomal RNA (253 nucleotides) under uncultured bacterium. Its description in RNAcentral is "partial 16S ribosomal RNA". It matches the Rfam family "Bacterial small subunit ribosomal RNA", at positions 524 to 776 of the family's 1533-position model. The record is from RNAcentral.